This 305-nucleotide ribosomal RNA is filed under the name uncultured bacterium. RNAcentral's name for it is "bacterial SSU rRNA". It matches the Rfam family "Bacterial small subunit ribosomal RNA", at positions 335 to 633 of the family's 1533-position model. The record is from RNAcentral.
UGCCUACGGGAGGCAGCAGUGGGGAAUAUUGGACAAUGGGCGAAAGCCUGAUCCAGCCAUGCCGCGUGUGUGAAGAAGGUCUUCGGAUUGUAAAGCACUUUAAGUUGGGAGGAAGGGUUGUAGAUUAAUACUCUGCAAUUUUGACGUUACCGACAGAAUAAGCACCGGCUAACUCUGUGCCAGCAGCCGCGGUAAUACAGAGGGUGCAAGCGUUAAUCGGAAUUACUGGGCGUAAAGCGCGCGUAGGUGGUUUGUUAAGUUGGAUGUGAAAUGCCCGGGCUCAACCUGGGAACUGCAUUCAAAAC